UGGGGAAUCUUGCACAAUGGGGGAAACCCUGAUGCAGCGACGCCGCGUGAACGAUGAAGCCCUUCGGGGUGUAAAGUUCUUUCGGCAGGAACGAUAAUGACGGUACCUGAAGAAGAAGCUGCGGCUAACUACGUGCCAGCAGCCGCGGUAAUACGUAGGCAGCAAACGUUGUUCGGAGUUACUGGGCGUAAAGAGUACGUAGGCGGUUUGCCAAGUUUGGUGUGAAAUCUCCUGGCUUAACUGGGAGGGUGCGCCGAAUACUGGCAGACUUGAGUAUUGGAGAGGAAAGCGGAAUUCCUGGUGUAGCGGUGAAAUGCGUAGAUAUCAGGAGGAACACCGGUGGUGUAGACGGCUUUCUGGACAAUCACUGACGCUGAGGUACGAAAGCGUGGGUAGCAAACAGGAUUAGAUACCCUGGUAGUCCCUGAGCGGGCUGGCAAGGCGCAU
Molecule: ribosomal RNA, 447 nt
Filed under: uncultured bacterium
Lineage: Bacteria
Description: bacterial SSU rRNA
Rfam family: Bacterial small subunit ribosomal RNA
Source: RNAcentral